AACCCUAACCUCCUCCUGAUUCCUCUCUCUCUCUCCUCUCCCAGGCGUCGAUGCGGCUCGCGUAUCACUGGGCGCGCCUCCCCGCUCGCCGCCGCCGCUCCUCCACCUCUUCCAUGGCGUUCCUCCAACCCGAACCCCUCUAGCCCUCUCCUCAUUCCUCUCCUUCCUUUCGCUCUCUUUUCACCACCGCUGCCGCACUUAUCGCCGCCAUCGCUCCUCUGUCGCCUCCAGCAACGCAUCCGCAACGACGACGUCAAACUGUUCCGGCAUCUACCGAGCCCAGUCUUACGGAGUAACUCCUCAUGAUGCCCACUGAGCGAAUCCGAUCAGCUUCGUCAUCGAUGGCAGCAGAUCUAGGCUCGAGGGCAGCGGAUCCAGUUGGCUCCAUCCUCGAUGGCAGCAGAUCUGGGCUCAGGGGCAGCGGAUCCGGUUGGCCUACACCGGCUGCUCCGCGACGAGGCCUCCCAAGGCAAAAAAGCUCUAUGAAUUGGCUAUUCGUCUCGAAUUUGGAUUUCUUGAAGUUGCAACCUACCUGAUCUGCUUGUUGCUAAAGGACGGCAUUGAUGCCUUGGUUUAUUGGAGUUGCACUGGCCCUAGCUGAUCUGCGUAUUGCUAAACGAUGACAUUAAUGCCUGCUGCUCUACAUCACACGUUUCGCAUUGAAAAACUUAUUGUUGUAUUAGUAUAAACUAGAUAUUUUGGUGAAUUAUUUAGCUGUAUGCAUAAUUUGAUUCUGAACACAGUAGGAAACAUGAUUUUAGCUUGAGGCACAUGACACCUGCUUCAUGGCAUCAUGAUUUUUGAAUGCAUGUUUAGUUGAUUUAGAACACAAUAAGAAAUAAGUUUUUUUUUCAUUUCAUUUUAAAAUUAGGAUAUGGAGGUUAUGUUGUUGCUUCAUAAUUUGUUCUAUGUUUAUGUUGGUGCAUA
Long non-coding RNA from Sorghum bicolor (sorghum), 927 nucleotides. RefSeq lists it as uncharacterized. The record is from RefSeq and is a predicted model, not a curated record. NCBI's taxonomy places the organism in Eukaryota, Viridiplantae, Streptophyta, Magnoliopsida, Poales, Poaceae. The transcript has 2 exons.